This 581-nucleotide ribosomal RNA is filed under the name Hanseniaspora clermontiae. RNAcentral describes it as "eukaryotic LSU rRNA". It matches the Rfam family "Eukaryotic large subunit ribosomal RNA", at positions 66 to 660 of the family's 3401-position model. The record is from RNAcentral. Lineage: Eukaryota; Fungi; Ascomycota; Saccharomycetes; Saccharomycodales; Saccharomycodaceae.
CAACUUUGGGAAUUCCUUAGUACGGCGAGUGAAGCGGUAAAAGCUCAAAUUUGAAAUCUGGUACUUUCAGUGCCCGAGUUGUAAUUUGUAGAAUUUGUCUUUGAUUAGGUCCUUGUCUAUGUUCCUUGGAACAGGACGUCAUAGAGGGUGAGAAUCCCGUUUGGCGAGGAUACCUUUUCUCUGUAAGACUUUUUCGAAGAGUCGAGUUGUUUGGGAAUGCAGCUCAAAGUGGGUGGUAAAUUCCAUCUAAAGCUAAAUAUUGGCGAGAGACCGAUAGCGAACAAGUACAGUGAUGGAAAGAUGAAAAGAACUUUGAAAAGAGAGUGAAAAAGUACGUGAAAUUGUUGAAAGGGAAGGGCAUUUGAUCAGACAUGGUGUUUUUUGCAUGCACUCGCCUCUCGUGGGCUUGGGCCUCUCAAAAAUUUCACUGGGCCAACAUCAAUUCUGGCAGCAGGAUAAAUCAUUAAGAAUGUAGCUACUUCGGUAGUGUUAUAGCUUUUUGGAAUACUGUUAGCCGGGAUUGAGGACUGCGCUUCGGCAAGGAUGUUGGCAUAAUGGUUAAAUGCCGCCCGUCUUGAAAC